This 428-nucleotide ribosomal RNA is filed under the name uncultured bacterium. RNAcentral describes it as "bacterial SSU rRNA". It matches the Rfam family "Bacterial small subunit ribosomal RNA", at positions 917 to 1344 of the family's 1533-position model. The record is from RNAcentral.
GGGCCCGCACAAGCGGUGGAGCAUGUGGUUUAAUUCGAUGCAACGCGAAGAACCUUACCAUCCCUUGACAUCCAGAGAAUUUUCUAGAGAUAGAUUAGUGCCUUCGGGAACUCUGAGACAGGUGCUGCAUGGCUGUCGUCAGCUCGUGUUGUGAAAUGUUGGGUUAAGUCCCGCAACGAGCGCAACCCUUAUCCUUAGUUGCCAGCACGUAAUGGUGGGAACUCUAAGGAGACUGCCGGUGACAAACCGGAGGAAGGUGGGGACGACGUCAAGUCAUCAUGGCCCUUACGGGAUGGGCUACACACGUGCUACAAUGGCAAGUACAAAGGGUUGCGAACUCGCGAGAGUAAGCGGAUCCCAUAAAGCUUGUCGUAGUCCGGAUUGGAGUCUGCAACUCGACUCCAUGAAGUCGGAAUCGCUAGUAAUCG